UGAAUAUUUGAUGACUAAUAUUUUAAAAAUUAAAACCGAUCGUUUCUAGAGCAAGUAGCAAAAGAUUUGAUGAUUGCUAUCUGAGACCCAAGUUCGAAUCCUAGUUGAUUCACAUUUCCAGCUAAGUUUAUUUCCAAAUGAAAUAAACGAAGUGGGUAGCAUGCUAUCUAUCUCUAAAAAAAUAGACGAUCUAGUCUGAAUAUAAAAAGUAUAAGAUUCGAAAAUCUAUACAACCGAAAAAUUAGACAUU
RNAcentral lists this long non-coding RNA (250 nucleotides) under Ananas comosus (pineapple). RNAcentral's name for it is "long non-coding RNA (ACOM_LNC004250)". Lineage: Eukaryota; Viridiplantae; Streptophyta; Magnoliopsida; Poales; Bromeliaceae. The record is from RNAcentral.